This is a non-coding RNA of Lolium perenne, 808 nucleotides long. Lineage: Eukaryota; Viridiplantae; Streptophyta; Magnoliopsida; Poales; Poaceae. The record is from RefSeq and is a predicted model, not a curated record.
GGUUUGUUAGAAAAUAAAUAGUACUCCGUACUGUAGUACAUUUUUCUUCAAUUCCCUUCCGUAAGAUCCCCAAUUUUCCGCACUGGCCAGUGCUCACGGUUCCACUUCUCCUUUUUCUUUUGUCCACCGCUAUUCUUUGAAUCUGAUUGAUGCCACUUCAGAAAUCCAAAAAAUCUUGUAUUGUCAGCUCCUCCAAGGAAUCCACUGAAAUUAGAUCGCCAACAUUCUUCCUCACCGAGAAAUUUAGCCUAAAUGGAGCAUGCGGCACUAAUCUUGGAGGACCAUGGUGGUCGUCCGGGCUGAAGAGGGCCGGGCACCUUAGGUCCGACCUGGACCGUGAGUCUUGCGGCGGAGGUCGCCGGCCGUCUACUUCGACAUGAUAGAGGUCUUGAUGUCUAAUAUUGAUUUAAAUCGCACACGAAAAUAUGGAGGAAUUGCUUCAUAGUAGGUGCUAAUUGCGCGCCGGCUGGAGGAGACGGCCGAAGUUGGCAGAAUCCCUACAAAGAUACAAUAAUAACUUCAUUCAGUCCUCCGCCUACACCAUUGUUCGAGCGUCCUCUACUUUGCGAUUGAGGCUUGGGAUCGGCAUCGGCAGUGUUAUGCAUAUCUAACAAAAUGAAGGUGUGUCAUUAUUUGUUUCUGUUUCCCUACCAUUUAGAUGGUACAUGAAUAUUUAUGUAUGUACCAGCAAAAUCACAUAAGUACAUCUAUUUUAUAUAUUUUUCAUUUCUUUCUUUGAUGUCACCAAUCUCUACCGUUAUAAUUCAUGGGAAAGGCAGAGUAAUUAAAAAAGUGAAUAUAAAAAAUG